ACGAACGCUGGCGGCGUGCUUAACACAUGCAAGUCGAACGGUGAAGCGCCUUCCUUUUUGGUGGGUGUGGAUGAGUGGCGAACGGGUGAGUAACACGUGAGUAACCUGCCCCCUUCUUCUGGAUAACCGCAUGAAAGUGUGGCUAAUACGGGAUAUUCUGGGUCUGUCGCAUGAUGGGUCUGGGAAAGAUAUUGUUUCGGUGGGGGAUGGGCUCGCGGCCUAUCAGCUUGUUGGUGGGGUGAUGGCCUACCAAGGCGGUGACGGGUAGCCGGCCUGAGAGGGUGGACGGUCACACUGGGACUGAGACACGGCCCAGAAUCCUACGGGAGGCAGCAGUGGGGAAUAUUGCACAAUGGGCGCAAGCCUGAUGCAGCGACGCCGCGUGAGGGAUGGAGGCCUUCGGGUUGUGAACCUCUUUCGCCAGUGAAGCAGGCCUGCCUCGUUUGUGGGUGGGUUGACGGUAGCUGGAUAAGAAGCGCCGGCUAACUACGUG
This 493-nucleotide ribosomal RNA is filed under the name uncultured bacterium. RNAcentral describes it as "partial 16S ribosomal RNA". It matches the Rfam family "Bacterial small subunit ribosomal RNA", at positions 29 to 507 of the family's 1533-position model. The record is from RNAcentral.